GACGAACGCUGGCGGCGUGCUUAACACAUGCAAGUCGAACGGAAAGGCCCUGCUUUUGUGGGGUGCUCGAGUGGCGAGCGGGUGAGUAACACGUGAGUAACCUGCCCUUGACUUUGGGAUAACUUCAGGAAACUGGGGCUAAUACCGGAUAGGAGCUCCUGCUGCAUGGUGGGGGUUGGAAAGUUUCGGCGGUUGGGGAUGGACUCGCGGCUUAUCAGCUUGUUGGUGGGGUAGUGGCUUACCAAGGCUUUGACGGGUAGCCGGCCUGAGAGGGUGACCGGCCACAUUGGGACUGAGAGACGGCCCAGACUCCUACGGGAGGCAGCAGUGGGGAAUAUUGCACAGUGGGCGGAAGCCUGAUGCAGCAACGCCGCGUGCGGGAUGACGGCCUUCGGGUUGUAAACCGCUUUCGCCUGUGACGAAGAGUGAGUGACGGUAAUGGGUAAAGAAGCACCGGCUAACUACGUG
This 468-nucleotide ribosomal RNA is filed under the name uncultured bacterium. RNAcentral's name for it is "partial 16S ribosomal RNA". It matches the Rfam family "Bacterial small subunit ribosomal RNA", at positions 28 to 507 of the family's 1533-position model. The record is from RNAcentral.